Non-coding RNA from Potamilus streckersoni, 78 nucleotides. The record is from the annotation of a GenBank genome assembly. NCBI's taxonomy places the organism in Eukaryota, Metazoa, Mollusca, Bivalvia, Unionida, Unionidae.
GAAUUAGUGGCCUAGUUGGUAGAGCGUCUGUCUCGGAUGCGGGAGGUUGUCGGUUCGAUCCCUGGUCGAGUCUUACCA